RNAcentral lists this ribosomal RNA (640 nucleotides) under Bacillus sp. (in: firmicutes). RNAcentral describes it as "bacterial SSU rRNA". It matches the Rfam family "Bacterial small subunit ribosomal RNA", at positions 1 to 640 of the family's 1533-position model. The record is from RNAcentral. Lineage: Bacteria; Bacillati; Bacillota; Bacilli; Caryophanales; Bacillaceae.
UACCUGUAAGUUACGCCUGCGCACGCAUGCCUAAUACAUGCAAGUCGAGCGGACGGAUGGGAGCUUGCUCCCAGACCGCCAGCGGCGGACGGGUGAGUAACACGUGGGCAACCUGCCUGUAAAACUGGGAUAACUCCGGGAAACCGGGGCUAAUACCGGAUAAUUCUUUCCCUCACAUGAGGGAAAGCUGAAAGAUGGUUUCGGCUAUCACUUACAGAUGGGCCCGCGGCGCAUUAGCUAGUUGGUGAGGUAACGGCUCACCAAGGCAACGAUGCGUAGCCGACCUGAGAGGGUGAUCGGCCACACUGGGACUGAAACACGGCCCAAACUCCUACGGGAGGCAGCAGUAGGGAAUCUUCCGCAAUGGACAAAAGUCUGACGGAGCAACCCCGCGUGAGUGAUGAAGGUUUUCGGAUCGUAAAACUCUGUUGUUAGGGAAAAACAAGUACCGGAGUAACUGCCGGUACCUUGACGGUACCUAACCAAAAAGCCACGGCUAACUAGGUGCCAGCAGCCGCGGUAAUACGUAGGGGGAAAGCGUUGUCCGGAAUUAUUGGGCGUAAAGCGCGCGCAGGCGGUUCCUUAAGUCUGAUGGGAGAGCCCCCGGCUCAACCGGGGAGGGUCAUUGGAAACUGGGGAA